AGUAAGGGGAGGAAAAGAAACUAACGAGGAUUACCUCAGUAACGGCGAGUGAAGCGGUAAGAGCUCAAAUUUGAAAGCUGGCUCCUUCGGGGUCCGCAUUGUAAUUUGCAGAGGAUGCUUCGGGAGCGGUCCCCAUCUAAGUGCCCUGGAACGGGACGUCAUAGAGGGUGAGAAUCCCGUAUGGGAUGGGGUGUCCGCGCCCGUGUGAAGCUCCUUCGACGAGUCGAGUUGUUUGGGAAUGCAGCUCAAAUUGGGUGGUAAAUUCCAUCUAAAGCUAAAUAUUGGCGAGAGACCGAUAGCGAACAAGUA
Molecule: ribosomal RNA, 309 nt
Filed under: Schizochytrium aggregatum
Lineage: Eukaryota; Bigyra; Thraustochytrida; Thraustochytriidae
Description: partial Eukaryotic large subunit ribosomal RNA
Rfam family: Eukaryotic large subunit ribosomal RNA
Source: RNAcentral